Molecule: ribosomal RNA, 680 nt
Filed under: Salmonella enterica
Lineage: Bacteria; Pseudomonadati; Pseudomonadota; Gammaproteobacteria; Enterobacterales; Enterobacteriaceae
Also listed under: 3 other names
Description: bacterial LSU rRNA
Rfam family: Bacterial large subunit ribosomal RNA
Source: RNAcentral
GGGUAGUUUGACUGGGGCGGUCUCCUCCUAAAGAGUAACGGAGGAGCACGAAGGUUGGCUAAUCCUGGUCGGACAUCAGGAGGUUAGUGCAAUGGCAUAAGCCAGCUUGACUGCGAGCGUGACGGCGCGAGCAGGUGCGAAAGCAGGUCAUAGUGAUCCGGUGGUUCUGAAUGGAAGGGCCAUCGCUCAACGGAUAAAAGGUACUCCGGGGAUAACAGGCUGAUACCGCCCAAGAGUUCAUAUCGACGGCGGUGUUUGGCACCUCGAUGUCGGCUCAUCACAUCCUGGGGCUGAAGUAGGUCCCAAGGGUAUGGCUGUUCGCCAUUUAAAGUGGUACGCGAGCUGGGUUUAGAACGUCGUGAGACAGUUCGGUCCCUAUCUGCCGUGGGCGCUGGAAGAUUGAGGGGGGCUGCUCCUAGUACGAGAGGACCGGAGUGGACGCAUCACUGGUGUUCGGGUUGUCAUGCCAAUGGCACUGCCCGGUAGCUACAUGCGGAAGAGAUAAGUGCUGAAAGCAUCUAAGCACGAAACUUGCCCCGAGAUGAAUCUUCCCUGAGCCUUUAAGGCUCCUGAAGGAACGUUGAAGACGACGACGUUGAUAGGCCGGGUGUGUAAGCGCAGCGAUGCGUUGAGCUAACCGGUACUAAUGAACCGUGAGGCUUAACCUUACAACGCCGAAG